UACGGAGGGUGCAAGCGUUAUCCGGAUUCACUGGGUUUAAAGGGUGCGUAGGUGGGCUGGUAACUCAGUGGUGAAAUCUCCAGGCUUAACUUGGAAACUGCCAUUGAUACUAUCAGUCUUGAAUACCGUGGAGGUCAGCGGAAUAUGUCAUGUAGCGGUGAAAUGCUUAGAUAUGACAUAGAACACCAAUUGCGAAGGCAGCUGGCUACACGAAUAUUGACACUGAUGCACGAAAGCGUGGGGAUCAAACAGG
RNAcentral lists this ribosomal RNA (253 nucleotides) under uncultured bacterium. RNAcentral's name for it is "partial 16S ribosomal RNA". It matches the Rfam family "Bacterial small subunit ribosomal RNA", at positions 524 to 776 of the family's 1533-position model. The record is from RNAcentral.